RNAcentral lists this non-coding RNA (199 nucleotides) under Youngiibacter fragilis. Its description in RNAcentral is "T-box sequence". It matches the Rfam family "T-box leader". Rfam says of the family: Uncharged tRNA acts as the effector for transcription antitermination of genes in the T-box leader family. T-boxes are found upstream of many aminoacyl-tRNA synthetase genes and some amino acid biosynthetic genes usually in Gram-positive bacteria. The record is from RNAcentral. Lineage: Bacteria; Bacillati; Bacillota; Clostridia; Eubacteriales; Clostridiaceae.
CGAUAAGCUUUGAACGGGAGUAUUAGCGAAAUUUACCUUUUAAGAGAACCUCCGGAUGGUGCGAGGAGGCAAAGGGAAAGCGUGAACUCGCCCGGGAGCUCGGCCGAAAAAACGGCCGCGGGCAGGACCGUUAUAUCCUUUUUGAGAGGGGCAGCCUUGCCCAACUAGAGUGGUACCGCGGACAUGUUCCGUCUCUUGA